Molecule: ribosomal RNA, 402 nt
Filed under: uncultured bacterium
Lineage: Bacteria
Description: bacterial SSU rRNA
Rfam family: Bacterial small subunit ribosomal RNA
Source: RNAcentral
UGGGGAAUUUUGGACAAUGGGCGAAAGCCUGAUCCAGCCAUGCCGCGUGAGUGAAGAAGGCCUUCGGGUUGUAAAGCUCUUUUAGUCGGAAAGAAAGAGUCGCAAUGAAUAAUUGUGAUUUAUGACGGUACCGACAGAAAAAGCACCGGCUAACUACGUGCCAGCAGCCGCGGUAAUACGUAGGGUGCGAGCGUUAAUCGGAAUUACUGGGCGUAAAGGGUGCGCAGGCGGUUUUGCAAGUCAGAUGUGAAAGCCCCGGGCUUAACCUGAGAAUUGCGUUUGAAACUACAAGGCUAGAGUGCAGCAGAGGGGAGUGGAAUUCCGAUGUGUAGCAGUGAAAUGCGUAGAGAUGUGGAAGAACACCGAUGGCGAAGGCAGCUCCCUGAGUUGACACUGACGCUC